AUAAACAGUUGUGAGGUGAUAGUUUGACAAGGCUUUGGUGGAGGUUGUGUUAGUAUGUCCAUGGGUAGUGUUGUGAGCCUGGUGAUAGUGUGACAAGGCUUUGGUGGAGGUUGUGUUAGUAUGUCCAUGGGUAGUGUUAUGAGCCUGGUGAUAGUUUGACAAGGCUUUGGUGGAGGUUGUGUUAGUAUGUCCAUGGGUAGUGUUAUGAGCCUGGUGAUAGUGUGACAAGGCUUUGGUGGAGGUUGUGUUAGUAUGUCCAUGGGUAGUGUUAUGAGCCUGGUGAUAGUUUGACAAGGCUUUGGUGGAGGUUGUGUUAGUAUGUCCAUGGGUAGUGUUAUGAGCCUGGUGAUAGUUUGACAAGGCUUUGGUGGAGGUUGUGUUAGUGUGUCCAUGGGUAGUGUUAUGAGCCUGGUGAUAGUUUGACAAGGCUUUGGUGGAGGUUGUGUUAGUAUGUCCAUGGGUAGUGUUAUGAGCCUGGUGAUAGUUUGACAAGGCUUUGGUGGAGGUUGUGUUAGUGUGUCCAUGGGUAGUGUUAUGAGCCUGGUGAUAGUUUGACAAGGCUUUGGUGGAGGUUGUGUUAGUGUGUCCAUGGGUAGUGUUAUGAGCCUGGUGAUAGUUUGACAAGGCUUUGGUGGAGGUUGUGUUAGUGUGUCCAUGGGUAGUGUUAUGAGCCUGGUGAUAGUUUGACAAGGCUUUGGUGGAGGUUGUGUUAGUAUGUCCAUGGGUAGUGUUAUGAGCCUGGUGAUAGUUUGACAAGGCUUUGGUGGAGGUUGUGUUAGUAUGUCCAUGGGUAGUGUUAUGAGCCUGGUGAUAGUUUGACAAGGCUUUGGUGGAGGUUGUGUUAGUAUGUCCAUGGGUAGUGUUAUGAGCCUGGUGAUAGUUUGACAAGGCUUUGGUGGAGGUUGUGUUAGUAUGUCCAUGGGUAGUGUUGUGAGCCUGGUGAUAGUUUGACAAGGCUUUGGUGGAGGUUGUGUUAGUAUGUCCAUGGGUAGUGUUGUGAGCCUGGUGAUAGUUUGACAAGGCUUUGGUGGAGGUUGUGUUAGUGUGUCCAUGGGUAGUGUUAUGAGCCUGGUGAUAGUUUGACAAGGCUUUGGUGGAGGUUGUGUUAGUGUGUCCAUGGGUAGUGUUAUGAGCCUGGUGAUAGUUUGACAAGGCUUUGGUGGAGGUUGUGUUAGUAUGUCCAUGGGUAGUGUUGUGAGCCUGGUGAUAGUUUGACAAGGCUUUGGUGGAGGUUGUGUUAGUGUGUCCAUGGGUAGUGUUGUGAGCCUGGUGAUAGUUUGACAAGGCUUUGGUGGAGGUUGUGUUAGUAUGUCCAUGGGUAGUGUUAUGAGCCUGGUGAUAGUUUGACAAGGCUUUGGUGGAGGUUGUGUUAGUAUGUCCAUGGGUAGUGUUAUGAGCCUGGUGAUAGUUUGACAAGGCUUUGGUGGAGGUUGUGUUAGUAUGUC
This is a long non-coding RNA of Eriocheir sinensis (Chinese mitten crab), 1445 nucleotides long. RefSeq lists it as uncharacterized. Lineage: Eukaryota; Metazoa; Arthropoda; Malacostraca; Decapoda; Varunidae. The transcript has 5 exons. The record is from RefSeq and is a predicted model, not a curated record.